CCCCUAGACGUUCUGGGCUGCACGCGCGCUACAAUAAUACGCACAGCGAGUAUCACCGAGCUCGAAAGGGCAAGGUAAACAAUAGAAAAGGUACUGUAAUGGUUAUAGAUCCUUGUAAUUAUUGAUCUUCAACGAGGAAUUCCUAGUAAGUAUGUGUCAUCAUCACGCACUGAUUACGUCCCUGCCCUUUGUACACACCGCCCGUCGCUCCUACCGAUUGGGUGAGCCGAUGAAACUCUCGGAUGUAGGCUAGUCAUAGCCCGCAGAAGAGAUUUGAAUCGUAGCGCUUAGAGGAAGGAGAAGUCGUAACA
This 311-nucleotide ribosomal RNA is filed under the name uncultured eukaryote. Its description in RNAcentral is "partial 18S ribosomal RNA". It matches the Rfam family "Eukaryotic small subunit ribosomal RNA", at positions 1470 to 1796 of the family's 1831-position model. The record is from RNAcentral.